Molecule: small nucleolar RNA, 68 nt
Organism: Conger conger (European conger)
Lineage: Eukaryota; Metazoa; Chordata; Actinopteri; Anguilliformes; Congridae
Product: small nucleolar RNA SNORD58
Exons: 1
Source: RefSeq, a predicted model, not a curated record
UUGCGGUGAUGACAAUCUUAGGACACCUUUGGAGUAAACCAUGAAAGGAACUUAAGUAUCUGAGCAAC